This 76-nucleotide transfer RNA is filed under the name Mycoplasmataceae bacterium. RNAcentral describes it as "tRNA-Lys". It matches the Rfam family "tRNA". From Rfam's summary of the family: Transfer RNA (tRNA) molecules are approximately 80 nucleotides in length. Their secondary structure includes four short double-helical elements and three loops (D, anti-codon, and T loops). The record is from RNAcentral. Lineage: Bacteria; Bacillati; Mycoplasmatota; Mollicutes; Mycoplasmatales; Mycoplasmataceae.
GUCCCGUUAGCUCAGCUGGUAGAGCAAAUGACUCUUAAUCAUUGGGUCGAGGGUUCGAAUCCCCCACGGGGCACCA